Eleginops maclovinus (Patagonian blennie) is the source of this 80-nucleotide small nucleolar RNA. RefSeq annotates it as small nucleolar RNA SNORD53/SNORD92. The transcript has a single exon. Lineage: Eukaryota; Metazoa; Chordata; Actinopteri; Perciformes; Eleginopidae. The record is from RefSeq and is a predicted model, not a curated record.
GUGGGAUGAUGAGAGUCAGAGAGGUUUCGCUUAAUAAUCUGAACUCCUGGGAUGUCAUAUCCUCUUGGCUGUCUGACCAC